GUGGGGAAUAUUGGACAAUGGGCGCAAGCCUGAUCCAGCCAUGCCGCGUGUGUGAAGAAGGCCUUCGGGUUGUAAAGCACUUUUGUCCGGGAAGAAAUCUUCCAGGUUAAUACCCUGGGAGGCUGACGGUACCGGAAGAAUAAGCACCGGCUAACUUCGUGCCAGCAGCCGCGGUAAUACGAAGGGUGCAAGCGUUACUCGGAAUUACUGGGCGUAAAGCGUGCGUAGGUGGUUCGUUAAGUCUGCCGUGAAAGCCCCGGGCUCAACCUGGGAAUGGCGGUGGAUACUGGCGGGCUAGAGUGCGGUAGAGGGUGGUGGAAUUCCCGGUGUAGCAGUGAAAUGCGUAGAGAUCGGGAGGAACAUCUGUGGCGAAGGCGGCCACCUGGACCAGCACUGACACUGAGGCACGAAAGCGUGGGGAGCAAACAGGAUUAGAUACCCGUGUAGUCC
Molecule: ribosomal RNA, 450 nt
Filed under: uncultured bacterium
Lineage: Bacteria
Description: partial 16S ribosomal RNA
Rfam family: Bacterial small subunit ribosomal RNA
Source: RNAcentral